GUCGCCCUCGGUCCGCUUUGUGCCUCGAAACCUCUCCCGGGCGCCGUCCAUCUCUCGAGGAACCGCUCUCCCCACUCUCCUCGCAUCCCCGCACCGGGCAGGAGUGUGCCACACCUGCCCGAGCUCCGCCGAGUGACGUUAGGUAAUCGAGGAAAGAAGAAACGGCAGACACACACACAUACACACGCAUAUACACGCACAAAAAAGGCAGCAAUGCCCCUAGGCGUGCCGGAUCCGGCGGGCGGGGCCGCGCCAUCGCCCUACUGCCACGGGAGCGGCGUGGAACGAUGCGGCAGAGGGGGAGAAGCGGGCGGUGCUGCGGUGCUCGGGGUGUGGGUGCUUCUCUGGGGACAGCGAUCUCUGAAUGCACGCAGCCCAAAUGCGGAACGCAUCCAACGCUCCCUUUGCCGCUUUGCUGCAUGAACACACCCUACAGAUGUGAUCGAUUUCAUAGAAUCGGAGGAUCAUUUGAGUUGGAAAGGAUCCCUAAAGGUCAUCUAGUCCGAUCCCCCUGCGAUGAACAGGGACAUCCACAACUCUAUCAGGUUGCUCCGAGCCCUGUCCAGCCUGACCUGGAAUUUAGACAAAUUCGGGUCCCCAAAUCACAGAAUCAUAGAAUCACAGAAUCACCAACGUUGGAAAAGACCUGCGAGAUCAUCCAGUCUAACCGUCCACCUACUGCCAGUAUUUUCCCACUAAACCACGGGGAUUUAAAUCUGCCUUUGGACAUUCUUUUGUCCUAACCAGGGAGAUGUGGGGUAUGCACAACUUCUCCUCCCGUGUGCAAGGAAUGAAGGAGGAGGUCGCUAUCCGGAAGGAAGGAAAAGCACGGAACAUCUGACAAAGGAUGGGAAGCUCUGGCCGCGUAGCUCUGUCCCGGUCCUCCCUGCAGCACAGCUGUUUGUCCUGAACCCAUGCUGCCUCUAUGGCAAUCCCCGGCUUCCACCAUCACUCAGCCCAGUCACCUCUCGUCACCUCUCUCUCCCUGCAGCCUUUCAGCCCCCUCUGACUACCAGGCGGCACCGACUGUCACGUUUCCAUCUUUGCCACGGGGGAACAAACCCAUCCCCGAGCAACCCCUCGCUCUUCCAUCCGGACGCAGCUGGUUCUGACCGACGGCUCCUCGCAGUGCGUUAGGUGUGACGCGGGGAGGCCGCCCCUUACCCCUCAUCCCCACAGCAGGAACCCAGAUGCGCACAACUCGCCCCCAGCACCCACCGCUCCCCGGGCGCUGCGAGCCUUAGCAGGGAGCACCUGCUCCUGGAAAGCAGCGCAUCCCCGUUGUGCUCUAGGAAGAAAGAGCGACGACCCAAAACAAAACCCACGUUAAAAACCCCACCGGCGCCGCUCUUUCACGACCAGCCUGGAGAGUAAGCGCUCCCUCCUCACACAGCCGUCACAACGAGAGCAAACCCGGAGCCCCCGCCGCUCCCCGGAGCCGCCCGCCUGGCCCGGCCCCGCCCGCUGCUGCGCUUCGCAUGGGCACCGCGGGAGGGAGCGCUGCGCUCAGUUUACGCGCAAUCCAAUUUCCCUGUGUCGAGCGCAGGGAGAGGCGCUCCGUGCCCGCAGCCAGGUGGGACGUGCAGGCCCUGGAGCCUGCCUUAUCCCUAUGUUCCUGGCUCUGACUUAGCUCGUAAUGUGAAGCACAUGUGCUUCCCAGGAGGUCCUGCUCCAGCCAUCGAUUUAAGAGGCUUCCCUGCUUCUUAGAAGUCCGUGUGCAAGUUUUCCCAAAGAUGGGUAUAGAUGCUGUUCCGACAGUUCCAUUUAUUUGUGGUUAUCUGGGCUAUUUUUGUCUCCUACCCCAAUUACCCUCAAGCCUCGGAGCUGCUUAUGUACAAAAGAAGCGAAUGUGCAUCCCUUGUGACUUACAUGUUCCAGACCCUUCCAUGACCAUCUGCAAGUCAGAUCUUGGAGUCUCUUCUCCACUUUUACAUGCACGUUUCACUGCAGCAACAGCUGAAUCAGGGCUUCUCUGUUUGGCUUGUAUGGUCAAAAAAUGUCUUUCAUGUAACAGCUAUAGUGAGUGUAUCGGUGUCACAACAGUGACCAGAAUUGGCUUCUUGUGCAGUAUUUCUUCUAUUCUCACUCAGAAUGUCAGUAAUCAAAUCAGAUCACACUGUCUGGAUGCACCAAUGUGACAGCUACAAUGCACUGUUGGGUACUCAUGAAGUAGAAUAAGUGAGGUGCACAGGAAAGGAUGCCAAAUACAUCGAGCAAAGAAAAGCUCUGCUUCAGUACUCGGUGUCUGAUCAUCGCACUGAGGGUGACUAAUGUAUGUUACUGUCUGGAUAUGCCAUUUGAAAUGCAAGCUGGAAUCCUGCCUUGGGAAAGAGGCACUGGCUGCAAGCAUAGGGUCACAGCCCUGGAGACACAUCACUCACACUUUCCCUGCUCAACUUCCCUGCACCUCCCCAGUCCUUCCCAGGGCUCAGGACUCAUUUUCUGCCUAGCCCGGUCCAUCAGUCCCUGCCCCAGCAAUGUCACAGCUUUCUCUGACUCCAUCUUCUGCUGCUUCACACUGGACCUCCUGAACAGAGCCUUCACCUCUUGCCACCCUUAAGUUUGGGUCCCUCUCCCUUCUGGCAUCCAGUCUGUUACAGCUGCUUCUUGGCAGCCCUGCUAUGGUCACAGAAAAGAGCUUACAGCCAUACAUUAGAGCAGCUUUGGUCCUGUUCAGCCACAUUUCUUAGUCCCUGGAUUCCUUUCACUUUUUGGCGCUAGGCUUAAAGCUGUCCACUUCUUAUACAUCACUGCUUAUGCUUAGCAGAAGCUGCAGAUUCCUUGUGAGAAUCAAACUCCAUGACUGCAUCUGAGGCAGUUAAAGCUGUUAGUAUUUGUAAACAUUUGGACAGAAGUGGCUCUCCCAGAAAAUAAGAGCCAGAUAGAACUCAUACCUCAAAACCAUUACUCCUAAGUGAACCACCGGACAUGUCAAUAGCAUGAGCUGCUGAGCUCACAACACUCGUCUGCUUUCAAUCUACAGUCAGUGAUGGAGAUUUCUCUGAAAUGGAAAUGUUAGCAGCACAAAGGACCCGGUGCUUCAGACCAUGUGAUGUAGGUAUGCUCUGUGGCUGCACCUCCAUGACCCAUCUUUUCAUACCAGAACUGGGCAUGUUCUCAAGGCACGCACCACAGAUUUAGCCACAGGAUUCUCUGUGUUGGAGCAAGACAUGCUGUCUGCUUCCUGAACGCUUCUUUGAAAUGCUACACUACUUUGAUAUUUUUAUUUUUGCGUUUUUACAUGCCAAACUGAGUUAUCAGUGUCAGAGAGUUGGAGCUUUAAAUAAGCCUUGUAAUGUGCACUACCAGCUGUUCGUGGCUGAAUGACAGAGGGUCUGCAGCCAAGCUAUACCUUUUGCCUUUAUUGGGUGGAUUUUGUGGGUACUGCAAAUAAAAGUGCAUACGGGGACGUAUCACAGAAUUACAGAAUUGCAGAGGUUGAAAGAGACCUCAAGAGAUCCCUGAAACAUGGCCAGAUCAAGGCCGUUACAGUGCAUAAAUCAAAUACUAACACACACAGAAUGAGUCAAGCUUUACUGAAAAACUUCAGAAAGAAAAAGAUAAAGGCCAGUGAGAUCAGUGGUGAUCCAGAAGCUGAUAACAUGUUGUGCUCCAGCACAGAAGUUUCAGACACCUCUUGCCUUAUUGCCUGCAGGUCACUGACUGGUGUAACUGGAUGACUUCAUGCAGUGGAGGCAGGCACUGCUUUACUUACCCAGUAGCUCAUAUUUGUUCAGAGAUAGCUGACAGCCUCGGGGACAGGCACAGGCUGCUACUGUCACCUGAACACCAAUCUGUCCUUCAGAGAGUAUCGGUUAAUUGCAGUAACAACUGAUAUCUAAUCAUAAAAAAAGCCCCUUCCAGUUUCAGUUUAGUGAGUUUAAAAAUUUGAGAAAUAAUUUUCCAGUGAGAAAAGCAGAACAUAAUCUUUUUUACAUCAAAAUCACUGAAAGAAGUCCCAUUGCCAAUAGAGCUGACACACAGCUCACAGGACAAGACAUCUAUUUGUCUGGGAAGUUAUAACAUUGUGUAAGGAGUAGUUCCCAAGUCAUAGAAGCAUAGAAUCAUUAGGGUUGGAAAAGGCCACUAAGAACAUCUAGUCCAACUGUCAACCCAUCCCCAUCCCCACUAAUGCACGUUCCUCAGUGCCACAUUUACAUGUUUCUUGAACACUUUCAGGGAUGAUAACUCUACCACCUUCCUGGGCAGCCCAGGGCUUCAUCGCUCUUUCUGAGAAGAAACAUUUCCUAAUAUCUGGCCUGAACCUCCCCUGGUGCAACUUGAGGCCAUUCCAUCUCAUCAUAUUGGUAGUUACCAGGGAGAAGAAGCCAACCUCAACUACCCUCCUUCAGGUGGUUGUAGAGAGCAAUAAGGUCCCCCCGAGCCUCUUCUUCUCCAGACUAAACAAUCCCAGUUCUCUCAGCUUCUCUCCAUUAGACUUGUGCUAGACACCCUUCACCAGCUUCCUUUCCCUUUUCUGGGCUUUCUCCAGGGCCUCUGGAACAUCCCAUUUCCUAAAACAGUCAAAGUCUCUUGCCCCUUACAGAAGAGCUGUGACCAGCAGCCUUUGGUGCAGCGUUUCAGCUGGGACAUCACAAAUGUCCUAUGGGGCUUCUGUGAAGAGGCAUACUGGCUUACUGCUGGUCAACAGAGGUCCUGGUACAGGAUAACUGCUAUUUUGUACAGACCAAAUCUGUUUAAUUCAGCACUCUGGAAAACAAGGCUAAUACCACAGCUGGUGGUAAGUCAGGCUUUAGUAAGUACGUCCUGAAUUCCAUGAGCUCCGUAAGCCUGAAGCUGAGAUACUUAUAUGCAAAGACCACAAGAGAAAUUACUGAACAGCUUUUGUUCCAAAUAAUGGUAGCCACCACAGUAGCAGAAGGGCUUUCAAACAGCCAUUGUUCUGUGAAAUGACAAUGGCAUAAUAAAAAAAAAGUGGACAGUAAAUGUUGUAGAGUUUAGGAGAUGCUUCAGAUCUUCUUUGUGCUCUCCCUGCUCAUCCUCUCCUUCCCUUUCAUACCAUCCCUUCAGCUUGUUAACUGGACAGGCUGCAGUUCUCAGAAGAGCUAUAGUAGAAGUUCGUACUUACUUUCACCAAUGAGAAGGAAUUGUGCAAGAAAACUGCAGAAAUUCAUGAUGUAAGUCAUAAUCAAAACAAAAAAUUGCCACAGUCUCCUUGCUUUUUGGUCUUUCACAUGUUUUCCAUCUAUGUGUUCUGUCUUGCUGCAGUGUUAGCUUAGAAGGGCAGAAACGUUUAAAGCUCAUCAACACCUCUGCACUGUAGGUCUUAGCUGAGUCAAAUAGGUUGGUAGGACCAAGGUGCUGGCUAGACUCCUGCUGCAGUGUAAGGAUCACAAAAAUUGUAAGGAUGAACCAGAUCCAGAUAGUGAGAGUAAAAGAGCUGAGCAUACAAGGAGUAUAGAUUUUCUGAGUGCUGUUGCCCUCAUUUUAUGAGCAUGAUACGCAGACUCUUGUUCAUAGCUGGUGAAAAUGCAAAACUAAUGGUAGUAACUAUGUUGAAAAACAGGGCUUUCUAUAGAAAAAUACCUUUUCUAUAGCAUAGUUUUGAAAAUCUUUGCCAAAGUUACCAGCUACAGCACAGACCUUGGGAACUAACCCACAGUUAGCAAUUUAUUUCAUAGCCAUGCAGUAAUUUAUUCAUGGGAGCCACCAAAUAGCCCAACUGGAUAAAGAAAUGGGAAGCCUGAAGAACAGUUGUUUUCUGCUCCUGUUGCCUGUAACCAUUCACAUUCUUAAAACUGCUUUCAACAGAAACUGUUGAAGUACUUUUAUCUGAUACAACUCAUACUUGAUGCUGAGCUACAUGAAAGGUGCUCAAUAUUUACUUCUUUCAGCCUUCUUGUACCAGAAAAAGUCAGAACUAGAUUUACUUCUGCUAAUCAGUAAAUAACAGGAAUAUUGAGUCCACCAGAGGUUAGUUUUGCUGAAAACAAUCUUGUGAAGUAUAUACUACAAUUCCCUAUUUUAAGAAAGAGGCUGAGCCAGAACACUUCUACUGUGAGCCAGAAUAUAUUGGAGUUGAUAUAAAUAUGAGCAGUUUGAGGUUGUUUUCCAUACAAUUGCUUAAUUAUCAGUUUACAUGCAAACUUUGUUUCCUUCUCCUUUCAAAAUGCAGUCUCUGAAUACAAAAUUUUCCUUUCUCUCCAACUCCUAAAAAAAUAUCUGCUUUGGGACAAAAGGUGAAAAUAGUCCAUAAACUGAAAUGAAUUUAUUAGCUGAAUGUUUUUCUUGACAGUCCGAGUUGUAUAUCCUUAGCUGAUGGACAGCAUAUGUGCAAAAUGAACUCCUUGAAAUGCGAGUUUUCAGCUUGGACAAUCUCAUACCAUACUACAAAUACCAUUGUGAGGAAACUUUGGGAGGUCAGUAGUCCAAUUUUCUGCUUAAAAUACUCAAUCAUUAACACUAAAUUAAUUCCACUAUGGCUUCGUAUAGUUGAGUCUUGAAAACCUCUGAGGUUGGAAAAUCUACAGCUUCUGUCAUACCUCCCUGCAGUGCUGCACUACCAUCUUAGUGAAAAUGUUUUCCUAAUGUCCAAUGUGAACCUUCCAAGCCACAGCUUACAUUUGUUACUCCUGUCCACUUAUUGUUUGGUACUGUGAAGAGAAGUCUGGCCCUGUCAUCUUUGUAACUCUCAUCUGUACAGUCAUAGGCUGCUGCUCAAUUUCCUUUCAGCCUCUUCUUUUCCAUACUAAAUAAACUGUGCUGCCUUAGCUUCUCCUUAAAGCUUGUAUGCUCAUUGUCCCCAGCCAUCUAAACAGCUUUCCACAGGACUUUGUCCAAAUUUUUAAUAUCCUUUUCAAAAGGUCAGCGGGGGAGCUCCCAUAAAUGAGCACAGAAAUCUACUUUUGCCCUAUGGUAACCCAUGAGUUUAUUUAUUCAGGGUGGGAGCACAUUGUUGGCACACGUUCCACUUGACAUCCACUGUAGCACCUGGGUCUUUUCCAGUGGAGCUGCUGCUCUGACACUUUGCAGCCAGUUCUGAUGCUUGUGGUUGUUCUGCCCCAGCUGCACUUCUUCCCCCUGAGUCCCAUGGGUUUUCUGUUGUUCCAGUCCCUAAGUUUCUCAGGUCACUGUGAGCUGAAGUUCUGCUGUUUGUCCCAUCAGUUCCUACCCCUACUUUAGCAUCAUCUGUAAGAUGGUGUGUUUAGGGUGCAUACUGCCACACCAUCAGGACUGCAAAUGAAUCAUUGGACUAUGCAGGUGCUACUAUUACAAAAUGCUGAUCCCUGAGGGACUCCACCCCUACCAGUCAGACCUCAAGAUAUCGCUUUAUACCUCUAGAGCCCCAGUUUCUGCCCUGCACAACUGUCUGUUUCUCAAGCUCAAAUUUAGCUCCUGAGUGAGCUUUGGGAUAUGAUAGUGUACAGGAACUGCUGAACCAUGGCCUGAACCUCUGAUUGAUCACCUGAGGUGAGCAAUGGAUCAGCCACCGUAGUACAGGUGAAGGCAAUCCACCUGUGCUGCUAGAAGGUGUGGAGCCUGGCUGCACCUCUCCUAGACCCAUUUAAGAGCUGACUACCGGGGGAAAGGAUCUCUUCUGGAGAUCCCUCCUCUGGAGUUUUGCAGUGAGCUCAGGAUGCAGGUAAGCUUUCUAUCUGUUCUCUUUUUGUUUUUAUAAUCUGCUCUGUUAAACUCUCUUGUUUAUUUCAUAAUUAUAACGUCUUUAUAUUCACUGGCUAAUACAGAUAGGAAAUACUGUUAAAUGCUUUAUUAAAAUCCAUGCAUUUUAUACCUGCUAUCUUCCCAUUGCCUGCACAAAACCAUUUUUCCAGAGAAGGUAACCCACUUCACCAAGGACAGCUUGCUCUUUAGAUGUUUAUGCUGAGCAGUUUUCAUUACCUGCUUGUCCUUCGGGGGUUUGUAGAUAACCAGAGAACAUUCUUCACAGCAACCUCUCCUGUCAUCAUUUUCAUAGGUAGAGGCAAGCCAAUCACAUCAGCUCUGUCAACACACUUCUCUUCCCAUGGAUUGACUACUUCCAGCUUUCCUAGGUAGAAUCAAAACUGUUUCUACUCCACUUCCAUCUUGAUUUCAGCAAGUCCAUGCUGAGUUCUAGGAUCUGAAUUUGUCUGUGAAGGUUGAAGGAAAAAAAGACUAAAGUAUUUUAGCCAUUUCCGUGGUUUUUACUACAUCAUGUUAUCUUUCGUCUGUUGACUACCUUUUCCCAAACUUCCUUUUCCAGCAAAUGUACCUGUAAAAUUUCAUUACUUUCUGUGUCCCUAGGCAGUGGUAGCUUCAGCCCCAUCUUAUCUUUUGACCAUCCUGAUUUCAUCUUUACUGCAUUUGUCCUUAUGCUGAGCAAUAUUGUUUUACUGUUCUUUCAUUGGCUCUUUUUGUUUCCCUUCUUGUACUUUUUUUUUCUUUUUUUUUUUUUUUUUUUUUUUUUUUUGGAGUGUGUUUUAGUCCAUUGACAAGCUCCUGGCUUAGUCAAGCAGACUUCCUGCCAAAAUUCCCAGUCUUCCUGCACAAUGGCAUGGUUUGCUCCUGAGUCCUCAGAAAGUUUUUCUGUAAAAAAUUAGCCUGCUUUCCUGGGCACUCUUCCCCUUCAUGGCUUCUUCCCAGGGCAUUCCGCCUAACAAUUUCCUAAAAAUAAGCCUAAAAUUCUGUUCUCCUGAAAUCCAGAGUGCUAAAGCCUGCUGCUUUCCUUCCCAAGCAUUCUUCAGAUCCAGAGAUCAUUCAUCCUGUAGUUACUGCAACCCAAGCUGCCAACUGUGACUACACUUUCCAUUAGCACUUUCCACUGUGAGCAAUUGAACAUUACCUAUGGGCAACCCUAACGUUUCUAUGUUAGGAAAUUAUCACCAUCACUCCCAAGGACUUCCCUUGAUUUCUUGCAAAAUAUUAUGUUGUCAGUGUCUAGAGGGUUGAAACCACAUGAAGGCAUUAGUCUAAAAACAGAAGACCUUUACUUCUUUCUGGAAGGCCUCAUCCACUGUGUCUUCCUGGUUAGCCAUUUUUACGACUCUCCUCACUGUACCUCUGCUCUCUACUUUUGACCCAGAUAUGUGCUCAGUGAGAACAUCAUCCAGGUUUAUACUGGAAAACCAGGCAGAUUCUUCAGGAGCCCUCCUCCUCUUCUCUGCUUGUCCUUAACUAAACAGCUUUUAUCCAGGAACUCAUAUUAUAUGAGAAUCAAAGACCCUCACUCAAUGUGCCCAAUCUUUAUGUCUGUUUAUAGCUUGCUUACAUUUCACUUUCACAUGCUAUGUGGAAUUUGCUGUGUUAAAUGUUGUUUCUUAUUUUGCGUGAAAAAAAGUCUAGGACUUCUCCUCCUUACUCUUCUGUGAAGAGGAGUAGAUGAAGUUUGAAAGGAUGGAACAUAGGUGUUCUAUGUGGCAUGGCCCAAAGCAGAGAGCGGUGAGGUGCUGGAACAGGCUGCCCAGAGAGGCUGUGGAUGCCCCAUCCCUGGAGGUGUUCAAGGCCAGGUUGGGGCCCUGGGGCAACCUGGUCUGGAAGUUGGUGGCCCUGUCUGUGGCAGGGAGGUGGGAACUUGAUGAUACUUGUGGCCAUGCCACAGAGAACACUUAUGUUCCACCCUUUCAAACUUCAUCUACUCCUCUUUACAGAAAGGUAAACCCAAGCCAUUCUAUGAAAGCACAGAUCAGGAUGUGAAAUGAACCAUCAGACAAGUCCCAACACACAAGUUCAGUUUUCUGCCUACACAGCCGUCUGCACUCAUGGAAAAUACAGGAGUGGUAUAGAACAGCAAUGACUUUGCCUGUACUGUGAUACUACAUCUGUAUUGAAUGCAGGACUGUCAGGUUGAGGAACAGCAGAAAACAAAAUUGCUCUGAACUUCCAAGUAACAAGCACUUCAAAAAUUCAAAUAAAAAUGUAAGUUUAUUUCA
Long non-coding RNA from Lagopus muta (rock ptarmigan), 9869 nucleotides. RefSeq lists it as uncharacterized. Lineage: Eukaryota; Metazoa; Chordata; Aves; Galliformes; Phasianidae. The transcript has 2 exons. The record is from RefSeq and is a predicted model, not a curated record.